AUGGCGACUGCGACGGACCAUCAGGAAAGUCUGCUGCGCAUGGACUCUGAGACCUCGGUGCAAAUGGGUGAGGAGUUGCCUCCGAUGGAUGAAGGAACCACUCUCAGCAUGGAUGGAAGUGGCACUGUCUCCCUAGAUGAAGGAGGAACCUUCUGCAUUGAUGAAGCGGGCACUGUCCACACAGAGCUCAGCCCUGUUGCACCUUCUAUUGACAGGAAUGUUGUCAUCAAUGAAGAAGAACAGCAGCUUGUGCUUCAAUCAGAUGCAAUGACUACCAAGACUAGACAUAGAAAGGGCAAAGGGCUAGAGAGGAUCACCAAGUCGCUUGGUAGCAAGGUGCAUAUCCAAAUUGCCGAAGGGUUGAAGCGUCCAGAGAAGCCUCUGCAGUCAGCAAAGCUUGCUUCUAAGUGUGGACUCGUUGCAAGAAGCCAUCUUCCGGUUCUUUCUCACUUCAAGCUAUACAAAAAAAAUGCUAGUCUAUUGGAGAACUACAUUGGAAAAGUUGUUGUAAGCUACUUGUUUCAUAGUUAA
RNAcentral lists this ribosomal RNA (531 nucleotides) under Triticum aestivum (bread wheat). RNAcentral's name for it is "partial small subunit ribosomal RNA". The record is from RNAcentral. Lineage: Eukaryota; Viridiplantae; Streptophyta; Magnoliopsida; Poales; Poaceae.